Small nucleolar RNA from Piliocolobus tephrosceles (Ugandan red Colobus), 102 nucleotides. RefSeq annotates it as small nucleolar RNA U13. The transcript has a single exon. Lineage: Eukaryota; Metazoa; Chordata; Mammalia; Primates; Cercopithecidae. The record is from RefSeq and is a predicted model, not a curated record.
AUCCUUUUAUAGCUCAUAAGUGUGAUAAUUGGAUUUUCGCUCUCCUGUGUGAGAUGUGCUUCCCUCAAACCUUGUUACAUCAGCACAUUACCUGUCUUGAUU